AGUGAACGCUGGCGGUAGGCCUAACACAUGCAAGUCGAACGGCAGCACAGUAAGAGCUUGCUCUUACGGGUGGCGAGUGGCGGACGGGUGAGGAAUACAUCGGAAUCUACUUUUUCGUGGGGGAUAACGUAGGGAAACUUACGCUAAUACCGCAUACGACCUACGGGUGAAAGCAGGGGAUCUUCGGACCUUGCGCGAUUGAAUGAGCCGAUGUCGGAUUAGCUAGUUGGCGGGGUAAAGGCCCACCAAGGCGACGAUCCGUAGCUGGUCUGGGAGGAUGAUCAGCCACAAUGGAAAUGAGACACGGUCCAGACUCCUACGGGAGGCAGCAGUGGGGAAUAUUGGACAAUGGGCGCAAGCCUGAUCCAGCCAUACCGCGUGGGUGAAGAAGGCAUUCGGGUUGUAAAGCCCUUUUGUUGGGAAAGAAAAGCAGCAGGUUAAUACCCCGCUGUUCUGACGGUACCCAAAGAAUAAGCACCGGCUAACUUCGUG
Molecule: ribosomal RNA, 492 nt
Filed under: uncultured bacterium
Lineage: Bacteria
Description: partial 16S ribosomal RNA
Rfam family: Bacterial small subunit ribosomal RNA
Source: RNAcentral